This 164-nucleotide small nuclear RNA is filed under the name Aotus nancymaae (Ma's night monkey). RNAcentral describes it as "U1 spliceosomal RNA (ENSANAG00000030975.1)". It matches the Rfam family "U1 spliceosomal RNA". From Rfam's summary of the family: U1 is a small nuclear RNA (snRNA) component of the spliceosome (involved in pre-mRNA splicing). Lineage: Eukaryota; Metazoa; Chordata; Mammalia; Primates; Aotidae. The record is from Rfam by way of RNAcentral.
ACACUUACCUGGCAGAGGAGAUACCAUGAUCACGAAGGUGGUUUUCCCAGGGCAAGGCUUAUCCAUUGCACUCCAGAUGUGCUGACCCCUGUGAUUUCCCCAAAUGUGGGAAACUUGACUGCAUAAUUUGUGGUAGUGGGGGACUGCCUUCAUGCUUUCCCCUG